Molecule: ribosomal RNA, 426 nt
Filed under: uncultured bacterium
Lineage: Bacteria
Description: partial 16S ribosomal RNA
Rfam family: Bacterial small subunit ribosomal RNA
Source: RNAcentral
GUCGAGAAUUUUGGGCAAUGGACGAAAGUCUGACCCAGCAAUGCCGCGUGCGGGAUGAAGGUCUUCGGAUUGUAAACCGCUGUCGAGGGGGUCGAAAAAUGACGGUACCCCUGGAGGAAGCCACGGCUAACUACGUGCCAGCAGCCGCGGUAAUACGUAGGUGGCGAGCGUUGUUCGGAGUUAUUGGGCGUAAAGGGUCCGCAGGGGGUUGAUUAAGUCUGACGUGAAAUCUCUGAGCUCAACUCAGAAAUUGCGUUGGAGACUGGUUGACUAGAGUGUUGGAGAGGUAAUUGGAAUUCCAGGUGUAGCGGUGGAAUGCGUAGAUAUCUGGAAGAACAUCGAAAGCGAAGGCAGAUUACUGGACAACAACUGACCCUCAGGGACGAAAGCAUGGGGAGCAAACAGGAUUAGAUACCCUAGUAGUCC